Non-coding RNA from Peromyscus maniculatus bairdii (prairie deer mouse), 327 nucleotides. NCBI's taxonomy places the organism in Eukaryota, Metazoa, Chordata, Mammalia, Rodentia, Cricetidae. The record is from RefSeq and is a predicted model, not a curated record.
CACAGAGCUGUGUGCUGUACUUAGUGUCUUAAAUGACUACCACAGAGCUCAUGACUCAACUCAGGAGUGUGUGGCAUUCUCCUGGAAUAUUCUCUGAUCAUAGGAAACUGAAGGUGAAAUAGAGAACAUGAAGGCAUCCUCCUCUGUGUCCACAGACACUGUUUCAGGAGCCCUUGUUCAAGGAAGGCUGGAGAUUUGGAGUAAGGAAAUGACCGAAACAGAGAAACAUUUGAAGAUGCCACACUGAUGACUUUGAAGAGGGAGGAUGAAGUCAUGAACUAGGGAAGUGGGAAGCCUCGAGAACCUAGUAAAAGUAAGGAAAUGGAA